Molecule: small RNA, 168 nt
Filed under: Junco hyemalis (dark-eyed junco)
Lineage: Eukaryota; Metazoa; Chordata; Aves; Passeriformes; Passerellidae
Description: TUC338 (ENSJHYG00000004615.1)
Source: RNAcentral
UUGGCAACCCUGGACACUUUAUCUACAAAACAAGCACAGCCCAGGCACUGGCAAUGAAAGCUUCUGCCAUGCUGGUGUCUGCUGAAUUGCCUCCACCCUCUCCAGGAGAGACUGUCUCUGGGACUGAGCAACAGAGCAUUUCCUUGGGCUGUUCAGUCUUUGACUUUU